RNAcentral lists this ribosomal RNA (495 nucleotides) under uncultured bacterium. RNAcentral's name for it is "partial 16S ribosomal RNA". It matches the Rfam family "Bacterial small subunit ribosomal RNA", at positions 28 to 507 of the family's 1533-position model. The record is from RNAcentral.
GACGAACGCUGGCGGCGUGCCUAAUACAUGCAAGUAGAACGCUGAAGGAGGAGCUUGCUUCUCUGGAUGAGUUGCGAACGGGGGAGUAACGCGUAGGUAACCUGCCUGGUAGCGGGGGAUAACUAUUGGAAACGAUAGCUAAUACCGCAUAAGAGUAGAUGUUGCAUGACAUUUGCUUAAAAGGUGCAAUGGCAUCACUACCAGAUGGACCUGCGUUGUAUUAGCUAGUUGGUGGGGUAACGGCUUACCAAGGCGACGAUACAUAGCCGACCUGAGAGGGUGAUCGGCCACACUGGGACUGAGACACGGCCCAGACUCCUACGGGAGGCAGCAGUAGGGAAUCUUCGGCAAUGGACGGAAGUCUGACCGAGCAACGCCGCGUGAGUGAAGAAGGUUUUCGGAUCGUAAAGCUCUGUUGUAAGAGAAGGACGAGUGUGAGAGUGGAAAGUUCACACUGUGACGGUAUCUUACCAGAAAGGGACGGCUAACUACGUG